This 581-nucleotide ribosomal RNA is filed under the name Ophiocordyceps sp. Its description in RNAcentral is "SSU rRNA". It matches the Rfam family "Eukaryotic small subunit ribosomal RNA", at positions 609 to 1196 of the family's 1831-position model. Lineage: Eukaryota; Fungi; Ascomycota; Sordariomycetes; Hypocreales; Ophiocordycipitaceae. The record is from RNAcentral.
GUUGUUGUGGUUAAAAAGCUCGUAGUUGAACCUUGGGCCUGGCUGGCCGGUCCGCCUCACCGCGUGCACUGGUCCGGCCGGGUCUUUCCCUCUGUGGAACCCCAUGCCCUUCACUGGGCGUGGCGGGGAAACAGGACGUUUACUUUGAAAAAAUUAGAGUGCUCCAGGCAGGCCUAUGCUCGAAUACAUUAGCAUGGAAUAAUGAAAUAGGACGCGCGGUUCUAUUUUGUUGGUUUCUAGGACCGCCGUAAUGAUUAAUAGGGACAGUCGGGGGCAUCAGUAUUCAAUAGUCAGAGGUGAAAUUCUUGGAUCUAUUGAAGACUAACUACUGCGAAAGCAUUUGUCAAGGAUGUUUUCAUUAAUCAGGAACGAAAGUUAGGGGAUCGAAGACGAUCAGAUACCGUCGUAGUCUUAACCAUAAACUAUGCCGACUAGGGAUCGGACGAUGUUAUUUUUUGACUCGUUCGGCACCUUACGAGAAAUCAAAGUGCUUGGGCUCCAGGGGGAGUAUGGUCGCAAGGCUGAAACUUAAAGAAAUUGACGGAAGGGCACCACCAGGGGUGGAGCCUGCGGCUUAAUUU